UCAAGGCUGGUGGACGACACGUCUGCCGCAAGCGGCGCUGCGGUUUUUCCAGCGGCAGCAGCAGACAAUAGCACAGGGAGGAGGCAGCAUCAGGCUCCCUCUCCGGCCAGAAUCCGGGAAUGCGCCUCAAAAUCAGCUCCAAAAUCCUCCAGCAGAUCCAAAAAUAUAGUUUCAAAAGGAGGAUCGAGGAAUAAGGUAGUAAACGAGGGGCUUUAGGGCCGCUGUCGUGAGGGAGGAGAUCGAGAGAUGCGACGUUGCAGCUGUUUACCCAGAUGGUGCUGAAACGGAUGCUGGCAAUGCCAACAGGGCGGAUGCUAGCAGAGAAGAAGAUACAGAGGAGAUAUUUCACCAGAUUCUCAAACCCGUAGUUCGUCGAAGCAGAGAAGAAGAUACAGAGGAUAUAUUUCACCAGAUUCUCAAACCCGUAGUUCGUCGUAGCAGAGAAUAAGAUACAGAGGAGAUAUUUCACCAGAUUCUCAAACCCGUAGUUCGUCGUUAGGUGUAUCCCUGCCUCAAAGGCCUGUCUUCCCAACAUAUUGGGUCAUACCGGCUCCAGCACCGCGUGUUUGGUGAAAGGGAAAACGAAGAAACUGGGAGGGGAGUCGGUGAAAGCUUCAGCGGGCUACUGCAGGGACAGAAGAGGGGAAUACGUGGGCUGCGGGCCGGGCCUUAGUCUGUGGAGCGAGGGUUGCUUGCAGACUGAACUCUGCACUUCCACCUACAUAAGAAACUGAAGAGAAGCAUCAGCAAGAUGCACACGGCUGACAGCGCGGAGGCCGAGCCGGAGCCGUCUAUCGGGACCAUAGAGGCAGAGUUCGUGACACAGCAAGACGAGGGCCUUGAGGACGAAUUGGAGAGACUGGUGGAUGAGAAUGAAGAUCUAAAGAUGGAGAUCGAGGAGAUGAGGACGGAGAUGGACGAGAUGCGUGACACCUUCUACGAGGAGGACACGUGCCAGCUGCAGGAAAUGAGACGCGAGCUGGAGCGAGCCAAUAAGAACUGCCGGAUCCUCCAGUACCGGCUGAGGAAGGCUGAGAGGAAGAAGCUGCGCUAUGCCCAGACUGGAGAGAUCGACGAGGAACUACUGAGGAGCCUGGAGCAGGACUUGAAGGUAGCGAAGGAUGUGUCUGUGAGACUGCACCAUGAGUUGGAGAAUGUGGAGGAGAAACGCACAAAGACAGAGGACGAAAACGAGAAACUGAGGCAGAAACUCAUCGAGGUGGAGGUGACCAAACAGGCCCUUCAGAAUGAGCUGGACAAAGUCAAGGAGUCUCAGAAGAGAAGAGGAAGCAAGGAGGUCCAAAAGUCAGACAAGAAGUCUGCCCAGACCCCAACAGAGGAUGACAACGAUGAUCUCAAGUGCCAGCUGGCCUUCAUUAAGGAAGAGGCUGUAUUGUUGAGGAAGAAGACAGCUAAGAUCGACAAGGAGAAGGACCGGCUGGAGACGGAGCUACAGAAGUACCGCUCCUUCUAUGGGGACCUGGACAGCCCCCACCCCAAGGGUGAGGCCUGGGGACCCCCCACCACCCGUGAGUCCGAGCUGAAGCUGCGUCUGCGCCUGGUGGAGGAGGAGGCUAACAUCCUGGGGAGGAAGAUCGUGGAGCUGGAGGUGGAGAACCGGGGUCUGAGGGCGGAGCUGGACGACCUCAGGGGUGAAGGGGAGGGAGAAGGCGGGUCCGGUGGGGGGGCUGUGGGUGGGAUGGGGGCUGGCCGGGGCCAUGGGGAGGCUAUGACAGAGCUGAGGCAGCAGCUGCAGCUGGUGGAGGAUGAGGCAGAGCUCCUGAGGAGGAACCUGGCCGACGCUGAAGAUCACAACAAGAGAGUGACGGGAGAACUCAACAAGCUCAGGUUUAAGGCCGGGACCCACGAGGGAGGGGCAAGGCAUGGAGGAGUGGCGGCAGGAGGAGUAUGUUCGGAGAAGGCUGAGGCACUGCAGGAGGAACUGAAGACGGCCCGGCUACAGAUUAAUGAUCUUAGUGGGAAGGUGAUGCAGCUGCAGUAUGAGAAGCGUGUUCUGCUCUCCAACAUGCAGCGCUACGACCUGGCCUCCCACCUGGCCCUAAGGGGGGGCAUCAGCCCUCGGGACAGCGAUGCAGAAAGUGACGCAGGAGGGAUCGGACCAAGCGGGCGCCGCGAAAGCGAUGAUGACUCCUCCUCCUCUCGCCUCCAGCCCCCGCAUCGCAAACGCGAGGGCCCAGUGGGCGGGGAGAGUGACUCGGACGAGGUGCGGAACCAAACCCGCUGCCUCACGCCUACCCGAGGUCUCUAUACCCCACCCCCUGAGACCGCCGCCCGCUUCCUGCCCCGCAACCUACAGGAUCGCCAGCAGAUGAUUGACAUUCGAGUGGAGGCGGAGCGUCUUGGCAGGACCAUCGACCGGCUCAUCGCCGACACGGCAACUAUAAUCGCAGAGGCACGGGUGUACGUUUCCAACAGCGACCUGUAUGGGCGGGGUGAGGAGGAGGGUGGGAGGAUCAGGGAGCAUGAGCUGCUGUACAGGAUCAAUGCCCAGAUGAAGGCCUUCAGGAAGGAGCUACAGGGCUUCAUAGACAGACUGGAGGUGCCCAAACCUGAGGACAGGGAGGAGGAACCACUGUCGAUGUUUCAGCCCAUCAUUUUACUCAUCCUCAUUCUAGUCUUAUUCUCCUCCCACUCCUAUGCCACCAUCUUUAAACUUGUCUUUCUGUUUACCCUUUUCUUCGUCCUGUGAUCCCGCCUCCCUCAAUAGCAUAGCCACAUCCUUUGUUUGUUUGUUUGUGUUAUUUUUUUUAACAUUUGUUGCCAAGGUCACCGAACAGGAGCCUCCCUCUUCAAGCACAGGUCACAGUCACAUAACAGGAUAUAUGCUUAGGUUCAACACUGGAGACUACUUUUCCCAACACCCAACACUUCCUUCAUCACCCCCAAGAAAAGUGUUCCUCUAACAUUUCCACACCUUGGUGACCCCUUAAAGACAAACAGCUAGGAAGUUGAAAAAGAAAGGAAGUUAGGAAGUUUAAAAAGAAGAAGGAAGAAGAAGUUGUUGGUGGAAGAAAAGAAAGUUGUGACAGGAAGUAAAAAGUUGCUGCAGGAAGCGGCCCAAAAUGGCGGCCACCGAACUUCAGCGCGGUCUGGAGCAGGCUGGGCGGGGCUGGGGAACAGAGAGGGGGGAGCUUCUGGACAGCUUCGACUCAGAGAUGCAGGAAUGGGAGGACCAGCUGCAGGACAUGCAGAGGAAGAUAGAGGAGCUUUACAAUGAGGUGCAGGCUCGUAGAGGGGGAAAUGAUGUCACCAUGGGCAACGGCAAAAAUGAUAGGAUGCACCAUGGCAAUGGCUUCUGUGACCGGCCUGGCAGCCAUAGCAACAGAACCAAGGACCACCCAAGAGCUGUUGUAGUGCCAAAUCACUGUAGCAAUGGUUGUAGUCACGGACCCAAUGGUUAUGGCGAACCUGUCAACCAUCAGAUUGGUGGCUAUUAUCCAAAUUGCAACGGUGCGGUGGAACUUGAAGACUUGUUGCAGGAUUAUCUUGGACAUGGUCACGGAAAGACCUGGAAGACCAACUCAGCUCUCAACAAUGUAACCCUUGUCCCACUUCUCUCUCAGCAUCUGAAGGAGAUCACUAAAGGGAGCCAGGAUCAGUCUGUGCACCAGGAUGCGAUGAAGAGGAGGCCUGUUGAGAAUGAGAGGAUUGGUCAGGUGCGGUUUGCGGACGAGGAGGCUGAAAACAGGAAGAACAGAGUGUCACACAGAAAGAGUUCCCCCUGCAGGGACCUUAACAAGCCCCCUCAUAGACAGAGAGAAGGCCCUCCCGUACCCCCCCGCUCCACCUCCCAGGUUGCCUCAUCCGAGACUUCCCCAGCGCUCGACAGAAAGUCCCACUCCCAUGGGGUCCUUGUGGACAAGACGUGUGGUAGCCCCUCGGUCCUCAGGAAGUUUGGGGCCAUGCUCCAGAAGAACGAGGGGAAAACCCUCACCGACACCGGUGUGGUGACCAACCAGGUGCCUAUCGAGAACAAGUGCCCCACCCCCGUCUGUCAGCGCAAAGAGCUGGGCGGCAGCAGGGUGCCUGGGCGCUUGCCUGCCCAGAAAUGCCAGGCGGAUUCCAUCAUGCUUACAGUGGAGAUGGAUCCCAGCAAGGAACGAGGAUCUGGUGGGGCAGUGAGAGACUAUAGGAGAGAGAGCCAGCUUGGUGAGGGUAGAGGCACUUCAAUGGGUAGCUAUGCUCACCCUAAAGGACCCCAGGCAGGGCGUCAGAGGAGGACCGAGGCCAAAGCAAGGGCCCUCGGAGGGGCAGACAGAGAGACAGACAUUGGUCUGGUCCAGGGGGAGAGGGCCAGGAGGCCUGCAUACCAGCCUAGGGAGCCCAUACUGGACUACAGGAACUUGAGUGGGUCCCAUGUUGGAGCUCAGAGGAUUCAGAGGGGAGGGCCAGUUGCAGGUCAGAAUAAGGACGAUGGACUCAUUGAGCUACUGGAUAUGCUGGACAUCGAGCACGAGUACAACUCUAGCCCCCGAGCCACAAAGACUGCCUACAGAAAUGACACACAGAAGGUGAGCCCAGCUGAGUUGUCCCCAGCAACCCCGUCACUGAACUUCUCUCGUCCUGCCCGCCCAGCCAAUCAACGCCCUCCAUCCAGGUGGGCUAGCUGUGCUCCCACUGCCUUGAUCUCUGCCCCCUCCGGUCCAAUGUCCCGCGCCCCAAGCCCCUUGGCACACACCCCUAGCCCCAUAGCAAGAACCCCAAGCCCCGCCCUAAAGCAGAAAUCUUUCUGCUCCUAUUUGCUCCACACCGAGACUGCCAUCAUGUGAGAGACACGUUCCCCGACCCCCUUUUAACCCCGCCUCCCCUCCCCCAAUUUAACCCCACGGGGUAUUUCUCUGGAAAUACUAAAGACUGUUCUUUCAAUCCGUCUUGAAAAAAAGUGCUUUAAAAGAUUUUCUAUGAGAUUACUUAGAAUGAUUUACACAUAUAAGAAACAAAAUGGUUGACUCCUAUUCAGUCUCCAGUGUUACUGUGGCCUUCCUUUCUCCUGUGCCAAACUUCUUUACUUUUGGUUUCUGUCACUCUCUUUUACUUCCCUUCUAUUCUUUCGUUUUCUCUUUCUUUUUUAUUGAUGAUUUUUGGAUGGCUGUGUAUAUUGCGAUACAGCAUGACCCCCUUACUUGCGAGUGCGUGUCCCUGUGUGUGUGUGUGUGUGUGUGUGUGUGUGUGUGUGUGUGUGUGUGUGUGUGUGUGUGUGUGUGUGUGUGUGUGUGUGUGUGUGUGUGUGUGUGUGUGUGUGUCAAUCCUAAUGAGUGCCAUGUCGGCUUGUUUUUAAAAACGAGUUGGCCGUGUCCUGUCACCACAGCAGCAACAUGCUAACUGUCUAUAGUGUGUUUUACUGUGUCAUAUUAUCAAAAUAACACAUUUGAAACUGUUCAAGUAACCAUAGUAAGACAUACAGUUAUGACUAUGUAAUGCUUCUGCUGUCCUUUUUUCUCUCUUGAUAAUAAAUAAACACAACAGUGCUUUAAUAAACUGAUCCGUCUAUCUGUA
This is an RNA transcript of Oncorhynchus kisutch (coho salmon), 5517 nucleotides long. It is a transcript of the gene named protein SOGA3, with no coding region annotated. The transcript has 13 exons. The record is from RefSeq and is a predicted model, not a curated record. NCBI's taxonomy places the organism in Eukaryota, Metazoa, Chordata, Actinopteri, Salmoniformes, Salmonidae.